Molecule: ribosomal RNA, 301 nt
Filed under: uncultured bacterium
Lineage: Bacteria
Description: partial 16S ribosomal RNA
Rfam family: Bacterial small subunit ribosomal RNA
Source: RNAcentral
CAGUCGCCACGGUAAUACGGAGGAUCCAAGCGUUAUCCGGAAUCAUUGGGUUUAAAGGGUCCGUAGGCGGUCUUGUAAGUCAGUGGUGAAAGCCCAUCGCUCAACGGUGGAACGGCCAUUGAUACUGCAGGACUUGAAUUAUUGGGAAGUAACUAGAAUAUGUAGUGUAGCGGUGAAAUGCUUAGAGAUUACAUGGAAUACCAAUUGCGAAGGCAGGUUAAUACCAAUUGAUUGACGCUGAUGGACGAAAGCGUGGGUAGCGAACAGGAUUAGAUACCCGUGUAGUCCCUGUCUCUUAUAC